This 508-nucleotide ribosomal RNA is filed under the name uncultured bacterium. RNAcentral describes it as "partial 16S ribosomal RNA". It matches the Rfam family "Bacterial small subunit ribosomal RNA", at positions 28 to 523 of the family's 1533-position model. The record is from RNAcentral.
GAUGAACGCUAGCUACAGGCUUAACACAUGCAAGUCGAGGGGAAACGAUAUUGGAAGCUUGCUUCCGAUAGGCGUCGACCGGCGCACGGGUGAGUAACGCGUAUCCAACCUGCCCAUCACUUGGGGAUAACCUUGCGAAAGUAAGACUAAUACCCAAUGAUAUCUCAAGAAGACAUCUGAAUGAGAUUAAAGAUUUAUCGGUGAUGGAUGGGGAUGCGUCUGAUUAGCUUGUUGGCGGGGUAACGGCCCACCAAGGCGACGAUCAGUAGGGGUUCUGAGAGGAAGGUCCCCCACAUUGAAAGUGGGACACGGUCCAAACGCCUACGGGAGGCAGCAGUGAGGAAUAUGGGUCAAUGGGCGAGAGCCUGAACCAGCCAAGUAGCGUGCAGGAUGACGGCCCUAUGGGUUGUAAACUGCUUUUAUAAGGGAAUAAAGUGAGCCUCGUGAGGCUUUUUGCAUGUACCUUAUGAAUAAGGACCGGCUAAUUCCGUGCCAGCAGCCGCCGUAA